CACCUAUAGAUGAUGAGAUAUAUGAUCAGGUGCUCGGUACGAGAUCUUGUUAUGUUAGGGGUCUAGGGUAUGGGAUCACUGCUCCCUCAUCCUCACGCUCAUCUAGGGCUGAUAUCCAUUCUGCGUACGAGACUCGACUGAUGGAGGUGCAGAGGCAGGCUGUCGAGAAUUGACAGCAAGCUGUCAUAGAUUGACAGCAGACUGAGCAUCGAGCUCAGGAGUUGCCUGUACGCAUCGACGAGUAUCAGCAGCUCCAGAUCUAGAUGAUGCGGAUGGCGCAUAUGGAGUAGACGAUACAGCUGAUAAGGCAGC
This 312-nucleotide long non-coding RNA is filed under the name Elaeis guineensis (African oil palm). RNAcentral's name for it is "long non-coding RNA (EGUI_LNC019394)". The record is from RNAcentral. Lineage: Eukaryota; Viridiplantae; Streptophyta; Magnoliopsida; Arecales; Arecaceae.